Molecule: ribosomal RNA, 221 nt
Filed under: Actinomycetota bacterium
Lineage: Bacteria; Bacillati; Actinomycetota
Description: partial 16S ribosomal RNA
Rfam family: Bacterial small subunit ribosomal RNA
Source: RNAcentral
UUCACGGAGAGUUUGAUCCUGGCUCAGGACGAACGCUGGCGGCGUGCUUAACACAUGCAAGUCGAGCGAGGCCCUUCCUUCGGGAAGGAGCCCUAGCGGCGAACGGGUGAGUAACACGUGGGCAACCUGCCCCUAGCACUGGGAUAACUCCGGGAAACCGGGGCUAAUACCGGAUAUGACCUUGGAGGGCAUCCUCCUUGGUGUAAAGGAUUCUGGCUAGG